RNAcentral lists this long non-coding RNA (377 nucleotides) under Hordeum vulgare. RNAcentral describes it as "long non-coding RNA (HVUL_LNC002408)". Lineage: Eukaryota; Viridiplantae; Streptophyta; Magnoliopsida; Poales; Poaceae. The record is from RNAcentral.
UGGUUUAACUAGUGGACCUGUCUCUGCUCAUAAUUUUUGUGAAAGAAAUUUUUACUCUAUUUAUAAUCAAUCAUGACAGUACAAAUAACACUGGAUAGUAAAAAUUACAAUUAGGUUCAUGGAUCACCUAACGACGAUUACAAGGAUUGGAGAAAGCCAAAGUCGCACCGUUGUCAUCGCUCCUUUCUCAUCGGAGCCGGACGAACUUUGUAAUAUGACGAUUAGUGCACCAGUGCACAAAUCAUCACCGAUGAAGAGAGUCGUACGUCGAAAGGGUAAAACCUAUAAAAGCUCAAACAGAGACCGGAUCCAAACCGAUCCACUGAAGACCAACCCCUGACAGAUUGCCGUGAGAUCCGACCGAGACAUGCCCCGAC